This 1522-nucleotide ribosomal RNA is filed under the name Escherichia coli. RNAcentral's name for it is "partial 23S ribosomal RNA". It matches the Rfam family "Bacterial large subunit ribosomal RNA", at positions 1292 to 2797 of the family's 2925-position model. Lineage: Bacteria; Pseudomonadati; Pseudomonadota; Gammaproteobacteria; Enterobacterales; Enterobacteriaceae. The record is from RNAcentral.
GAAUGCUGACAUAAGUAACGAUAAAGCGGGUGAAAAGCCCGCUCGCCGGAAGACCAAGGGUUCCUGUCCAACGUUAAUCGGGGCAGGGUGAGUCGACCCCUAAGGCGAGGCCGAAAGGCGUAGUCGAUGGGAAACAGGUUAAUAUUCCUGUACUUGGUGUUACUGCGAAGGGGGGACGGAGAAGGCUAUGUUGGCCGGGCGACGGUUGUCCCGGUUUAAGCGUGUAGGCUGGUUUUCCAGGCAAAUCCGGAAAACCAAGGCUGAGGCGUGAUGACGAGGCACUACGGUGCUGAAGCGACAAAUGCCCUGCUUCCAGGAAAAGCCUCUAAGCAUCAGGUAACAUCAAAUCGUACCCCAAACCGACACAGGUGGUCAGGUAGAGAAUACCAAGGCGCUUGAGAGAACUCGGGUGAAGGAACUAGGCAAAAUGGUGCCGUAACUUCGGGAGAAGGCACGCUGAUAUGUAGGUGAAGCGACUUGCUCGUGGAGCUGAAAUCAGUCGAAGAUACCAGCUGGCUGCAACUGUUUAUUAAAAACACAGCACUGUGCAAACACGAAAGUGGACGUAUACGGUGUGACGCCUGCCCGGUGCCGGAAGGUUAAUUGAUGGGGUUAGCGGUAACGCGAAGCUCUUGAUCGAAGCCCCGGUAAACGGCGGCCGUAACUAUAACGGUCCUAAGGUAGCGAAAUUCCUUGUCGGGUAAGUUCCGACCUGCACGAAUGGCGUAAUGAUGGCCAGGCUGUCUCCACCCGAGACUCAGUGAAAUUGAACUCGCUGUGAAGAUGCAGUGUACCCGCGGCAAGACGGAAAGACCCCGUGAACCUUUACUAUAGCUUGACACUGAACAUUGAGCCUUGAUGUGUAGGAUAGGUGGGAGGCUUUGAAGUGUGGACGCCAGUCUGCAUGGAGCCGACCUUGAAAUACCACCCUUUAAUGUUUGAUGUUCUAACGUUGGCCCGUAAUCCGGGUUGCGGACAGUGUCUGGUGGGUAGUUUGACUGGGGCGGUCUCCUCCUAAAGAGUAACGGAGGAGCACGAAGGUUGGCUAAUCCUGGUCGGACAUCAGGAGGUUAGUGCAAUGGCAUAAGCCAGCUUGACUGCGAGCGUGACGGCGCGAGCAGGUGCGAAAGCAGGUCAUAGUGAUCCGGUGGUUCUGAAUGGAAGGGCCAUCGCUCAACGGAUAAAAGGUACUCCGGGGAUAACAGGCUGAUACCGCCCAAGAGUUCAUAUCGACGGCGGUGUUUGGCACCUCGAUGUCGGCUCAUCACAUCCUGGGGCUGAAGUAGGUCCCAAGGGUAUGGCUGUUCGCCAUUUAAAGUGGUACGCGAGCUGGGUUUAGAACGUCGUGAGACAGUUCGGUCCCUAUCUGCCGUGGGCGCUGGAGAACUGAGGGGGGCUGCUCCUAGUACGAGAGGACCGGAGUGGACGCAUCACUGGUGUUCGGGUUGUCAUGCCAAUGGCACUGCCCGGUAGCUAAAUGCGGAAGAGAUAAGUGCUGAAAGCAUCUAAGCACGAAACUUGC